Long non-coding RNA from Canis lupus familiaris (dog), 1085 nucleotides. RefSeq lists it as uncharacterized. The record is from RefSeq and is a predicted model, not a curated record. The transcript has 3 exons. NCBI's taxonomy places the organism in Eukaryota, Metazoa, Chordata, Mammalia, Carnivora, Canidae.
AGAGAGAUGGAGGCACCACCACCCCUCAUUCCCACCCUCCUUAGCCCGCACCCCCAAACAGAGGGUGUGAAGUCUGGAAAACAGCUGGCACAUGGGAUUCACUACAGAGCCAUACUCUAUUUGCAAGAAGCAGGACAGUGUGACAUGAAUGAGGACAGGAGUAGAUCUAGAACUGUCUCAGCCUUGAGAGACUGGAAUCACCAGCCAGAACAAUCAACAACACACUUGAAUUUGGGGACCCUACAUAUGGCCCAGGAAAUACUCUAAAGCAGGAGCUUGGGCAGAUGACUCAAAGCAGAGCAAGGAGAAAGGAGAAGAAGACAGGCCACAGCCUUAUGCAUAUCCACAUAAGACGGGAGACCUGGUGUGAAGCCAGUGGGAUACAGGCAGUGGCCCAAGUUUCUGCUCCAGGCUCUGCUACUUCCAAUGCUGUGACUUCAGGAUGUAGCCCAGCCUUCAUGAAGUGACUUGAGUGGUCAAAGCCAGAAGCCAUGUGUUUGCCACCAGUGCUCCAUGUUGGACCAUUCUACUGGAGAAGAGCAUUCUGGAAUCAUCAGCCCAACACACUGCUCUGAGUCCCAAGUCAACCUAGUUCCAAGAGGAAGUAAGACAAUUCAAUGGAAGAAUCCAGGAUGUGAUUUUCCUUAUCCUUCAUGCUUUCACAUUAUAACAUUGAAUGUGCCAACUUUGACCCAAAAGUCUGAGGUUUGACUCCAGAACUUACUUUAUAUAGCAGCUGUUCAUAUCCAAAGUAACCCAGCAAAGGUGCUUCAGAUGCUGUGAAACAUGGAAUAUUUACUAUUUUUAUAGUUAGUCGCCACCCUAUACACUCUAACAGUCAACUCUCCUAGGUUCUAAAAGUGAUUUCCUUUUUCAUAUGGAGAAAGCCAAAUAUCCAAAAAUUCACUAUUUUCAGUGACUCUUUUCCCUUUUCAAAAACUGUUCCAUUUGACCAGCAAAGGAGGGAGUGGAAGCUAGAAGUUGGGUGAGUGUGGCAUCCGUGGUGUGGCUGCCACUCCCCUGGUGCCAUCCUCCCUCUCCAGGGCACAGCUGUUACGAACUCUGCACGAUGAAUCCCAUUACCU